AUCUUAAGCGCUAUUUCCAUUCUCUUCUCUGAAAUUUUUCCUUCAAUAUUAAGUCAAUCUAUGGAGAAUGAUGUUCCCGCUGAUAUCCAUUUCACUGAUUUUGAGGACGUCGUUAGUCAAUCCAUGGAGAAUGAUGUUCCCGUUGACACGAAUAUGACCUAUUCUGCAGGCGGUUCUAAUCGUCUGCUUAUGUCUCCAAGUGCCCUGACAAACUAAAACCAUUCGUUGGCAAGAAAUUCAACACUUUGGACGCCGGAAUUGCUUUCUACGAUGCUUAUGCUCGUGAAGCUAGCUUCGACACCCGGAAACGUGGAAUCAAAUCUUCACGUGAGUGUGUUACUUGACAAUAUAUUGUGUGCAACAGGCUAGGGUUGAAGAAUGGGAUUGAAAUGGAUCAUAUUCAUGCUCGUGAAGGAUUUAUUAACAAGCGCAGAAGAACCUCUAAAAGAUGUGAUUGUAAGGCUAGAAUCUCAUUGAGGCUAGAAGGAUUUUAAUUACUAUCCACUAUAUCUCAGUUGCAGAACUUAUUACCAAUUGAUGGGAUAUAUUCAUUUUACUGUUUGAUUAA
Non-coding RNA from Salvia hispanica, 568 nucleotides. NCBI's taxonomy places the organism in Eukaryota, Viridiplantae, Streptophyta, Magnoliopsida, Lamiales, Lamiaceae. The record is from RefSeq and is a predicted model, not a curated record.